Molecule: ribosomal RNA, 274 nt
Filed under: uncultured bacterium
Lineage: Bacteria
Description: partial 16S ribosomal RNA
Rfam family: Bacterial small subunit ribosomal RNA
Source: RNAcentral
AUACGGAGGGUGCAAGCGUUAUCCGGAUUUAUUGGGUUUAAAGGGUCCGUAGGCGGAUCUGUAAGUCAGUGGUGAAAUCUCAUAGCCUAACUAUGAAACUGCCAUUGAUACUGCAGGUCUUGAGUAAGGUAGAAGUAGCUGGAAUAAGUAGUGUAGCGGUGAAAUGCAUAGAUAUUACUUAGAACACCAAUUGCGAAGGCAGGUUACUAUGUCUUAACUGACGCUGAUGGACGAAAGCGUGGGGAGCGAACAGGAUUAGAAACCCCAGUAGUCC